AGUGAACGCUGGCGGUAGGCCUAACACAUGCAAGUCGAACGGCAGCACAGUAAGAGCUUGCUCUUACGGGUGGCGAGUGGCGGACGGGUGAGGAAUACAUCGGAAUCUACUUUUUCGUGGGGGAUAACGUAGGGAAACUUACGCUAAUACCGCAUACGACCUACGGGUGAAAGCAGGGGAUCUUCGGACCUUGCGCGAUUGAAUGAGCCGAUGUCGGAUUAGCUAGUUGGCUGGGUAAAGGCCCACCAAGGCGACGAUCCGUAGCUGGUCUGAGAGGAUGAUCAGCCACACUGGAACUGAGACACGGUCCAGACUCCUACGGGAGGCAGCAGUGGGGAAUAUUGGACAAUGGGCGCAAGCCUGAUGCAGCCAUACCGCGUGGGUGAAGAAGGCCUUCGGGUUGUAAAGCCCUUUUGUUGGGAAAGAAAAGCAGCAGGUUAAUACCCCGCUGUUCUGACGGUACCCAAAGAAUAAGCACCGGCUAACUUCGUG
This 492-nucleotide ribosomal RNA is filed under the name uncultured bacterium. RNAcentral's name for it is "partial 16S ribosomal RNA". It matches the Rfam family "Bacterial small subunit ribosomal RNA", at positions 29 to 507 of the family's 1533-position model. The record is from RNAcentral.